This 471-nucleotide ribosomal RNA is filed under the name uncultured crenarchaeote. RNAcentral describes it as "bacterial SSU rRNA". It matches the Rfam family "Archaeal small subunit ribosomal RNA", at positions 1 to 480 of the family's 1478-position model. The record is from RNAcentral. Lineage: Archaea; Thermoproteati; Thermoproteota.
UUCCGGUUGAUCCUGCCGGACCCGACUGCUAUCAGAGUGGGACUAAGCCAUGCGAGUUAACGCAGCAAUGCGUGGCAUACGGCUCAGUAACACGUAGUCAACAUGCCCAGGGGACGUGGAUAACCUCGGGAAACUGAGGAUAAACCGCGAUAGGCCAAGAUUUCUGGAAUGGAUCAUGGCUGAAACCUACAUGGCCCCUGGAUUGGACUGCGGCCGAUCAGGCUGUUGGUGAGGUAAUGGCCCACCAAACCUGUAACCGGUACGGGCUCUGAGAGGAGGAGCCCGGAGAUGGGCACUGAGACAAGGGCUCAGGCCCUAUGGGGCGCAGCAGGCGCGAAACCUCUGCAAUAGGCGAAAGCUUGACAGGGUUACUCUGAGUGAUGCCCGUUAAGGGCAUCUUUUGGCACUUCUAAAAAUAGUGUAGAAUAAGGGGUGGGCAAGUCUGGUGUCAGCCGCCGCGGUAAAACCAGC